GUCACGCUGUUCAGUUUACUGUAAUAGCAUUGAAAUGAGGAUGUAAUGUGCAAGAUAUUGAAAGAUGGUUCAACUGAUGGAACAUAAUCCAACCACAAUAAAAAGAUUUGGAUUGCGCAAGUUUUGCAGUGCUGCCUUUUACCUGAUGGUGAAACUAGUUCCGGCAAUAAAUCCGAGUCAGGUUCUGGCGGGGAACAAGCAUGACAUAAAGCCUGUGCUUGAUGCCGUCAUCAUUUCUGCCUGCAAAGGUUAUGUCUGGAUGCGGUGCAAAGACCACAGCAAAACAGUUCCAGAUGACACCUUCUUCAACAAGGCCAUGACACUCCAAAAAUUAAUAGACUACUCCAGGAAAUAAAUGAAAUCAUCUUGUUUAAAUUGAGACUAAAAAUAGGGGGUGUUAGAUUGUUUAAUUUUUACCCUGUCAUAAUGUGAUCAAUUCAACAACAACAAAA
This is a long non-coding RNA of Dreissena polymorpha, 452 nucleotides long. RefSeq lists it as uncharacterized. The record is from RefSeq and is a predicted model, not a curated record. The transcript is spliced from 4 exons. NCBI's taxonomy places the organism in Eukaryota, Metazoa, Mollusca, Bivalvia, Myida, Dreissenidae.